CUACGGGAGGCAGCAGUGGGGAAUUUUGGACAAUGGGCGCAAGCCUGAUCCAGCCAUUCCGCGUGCAGGAUGAAGGCCUUCGGGUUGUAAACUGCUUUUGUACGGAACGAAAAGGCUCUGGUUAAUACCUGGAGUUUAUGACGGUACCGUAAGAAUAAGCACCGGCUAACUACGUGCCAGCAGCCACGGUAAUACGUAGGGUGCAAGCGUUAAUCGGAAUUACUGGGCGUAAAGCGUGCGCAGGCGGUUUUGUAAGACAGAGGUGAAAUCCCCGGGCUCAACCUGGGAACUGCCUUUGUGACUGCAAAGCUGGAGUACGGCAGAGGGGGAUGGAAUUCCGCGUGUAGCAGUGAAAUGCGUAGAUAUGCGGAGGAACACCGAUGGCGAAGGCAAUCCCCUGGGCCUGUACUGACGCUCAUGCACGAAAGCGUGGGGAGCAAACAGGAUUAGAUACCCUGGUAGUCC
Molecule: ribosomal RNA, 465 nt
Filed under: uncultured bacterium
Lineage: Bacteria
Description: bacterial SSU rRNA
Rfam family: Bacterial small subunit ribosomal RNA
Source: RNAcentral